CUUUAAACUGAAGAACUUGAUUGGCUUGUACACAUUGGGUUUUUUUGUGGUAUAGUUCAAUUGCUGUUGCUUGUAAAUUGUUUUAUAAACCAGUACAGCGAAGUAGCGAAAUUUCGGGCCGUCUUUCACAACAAAUAACAUCACAAUAACUGCACAUCUUUUUCUCUUUAAUACAGAAUCGUUCUCCCCGUCCAUUGAGUUAUAAUUUCCAAAACAAACGAGUCGCUAUAACGUAAAAAAAGCGGGUAUUUGUGAACAAAAAUGCCUUUUAUGGAUGUAACACGAGGUAACCGACGCCAUCUUGUCUUCUCCAAAC
This 316-nucleotide long non-coding RNA is filed under the name Paramuricea clavata. The record is from RNAcentral. Lineage: Eukaryota; Metazoa; Cnidaria; Anthozoa; Malacalcyonacea; Plexauridae.